CAGUGGGUCCCAUUUUAAACCUUAAUAGAGAUGGUGAUUGUGACGAGGAGUCUGAUAAAUACAAAGACAUCAAGCAAUGGCUUGAUGAUCAGCCCCUAUCCUCAGUAGUGUAUCUAUGCUUCGGGAGCAGGGGGAGUUUCGGAGUGGAUCAGGUGAAGGAAAUUGCAUGGGGGCUAGAGCAGAGCGGGCAUCGAUUCUUGUGGUCUCUACGGAAACCACCACCGGUAGGGAAGAUGGAACUUCCAAGCGAUUACACUAAUCCUCGGGAUGUCUUACCUGAAGGAUUUCUGGAUCGGACGGCUAUCACAGGAAAAAUAAUUGGAUGGGCCCCGCAGACAGAUAUUUUGGCCCAUCCAUCCGUAGGAGGGUUCGUAUCGCACUGUGGAUGGAACUCUAUAUUGGAAAGCAUAUGGUUUGGCGUUCCAAUUGCCGCGUGGCCAUUAUAUGCAGAGCAACAACUGAAUGCCUUUCAAAUGAUUGUUGAGCUCGGAUUGGGAGUGGAGAUUAAAAUGGAUUAUAGAAGAGAGUUUAUCUCGGAUGGUAAUGAAGAUGUCAUUAGUGCCGGGGAGAUCGAGAGAGGAGUAAGGUGUUUAAUGGAGCUUUGCGAUGAGAAGAGGGAGAAGUUGAAGGAGAUGAGAGAGAAGAGCAGGAAGGCUUUGGAGAACGGUGGAACCUCGUUCACAUGGCUAGGUCGUUUCAUUCAAGAUACGGUGGACCACGUACCAUGAUUAAAUGGUACUCUCUUCGUAUUAUUUAAUACUGUGUCUUUGCGUUGAAAUAUUGUCUUUCAAAAUAAAUAAAUAAAUAUGGUUCAUUGAAAUCAGAGUUUUACCAUGCAUAGUAAAAUGAUUUGUGCAUUGAAAUUAUCACUUUAGCCCUAUUAAGAAAAACUCAAUGAACUUCAUCUCAAGGACAAAUAUUCUUAAAAAGAUAUUAAACUUAUAUAUAUUAAGCCAGGGUUGGAAAAAGGAUAUUAAACAAGGAAAUUUUUUAAAGAGUGAUCGAUAAUAAUUUUUUAAAUAAAUUCUUUGAAUAUAUAUAUAUAUAUAUAUAUAGAAAAUUGAGAGAUUUAGAAUCCUUUAAUUGAGUGAUUCCAGGAAGCCAUUUUUUUUUUUUUUUGUUGGAGUUGAAGUAGAUGGGUUAGAGUCAUUUCAUUUUUAUAUAUUGAAUUUGAAUUAUGAGUUUUAUUUCCCUUAAUAUACCCAAAAUACCGCAACCACAUACUUGUCUUUCCACUAAAUUUAUUCAAUUUGGAGAGGGAGAUGUAGUAGGUGAUUAGAGACUUUAAUACACAACCUGUUAAGUUAAAUUUUGUUGAAUUGCUAAUAAUUUUUUUAAUAAAAAAAUUUGGCUUGAUGUGACCUGAUCAGGAUAUAAAAAUAAUUUAGGUUGGCUAUAAAAAUAUAAUUUGAUUAAAAAAAUUAAAAUAAUAUUUUUAUAAAAAAAUAUUAAAAUAAUAACAUCUUGAUACAGAUCAACUUAAAUUAAUCUAUAAAUUUUCCAAUUAUAAUUAUAAAAUUAUUAUAAUAAAAUUUAAUUUUUAAUCAAUUUUAAAUAAUAAAAUUAAAAAAAUCUAAACAUAACAUAAUUUAAUCCAAAUUAACCUAUUAAUCCAAAUUAACCUUCUUUUCCUCGCUCAAGCUAGAAGGUUCAGGGAAAGUAAGGGUAUUAAACACAAAUAAAGAGCUGGAAUCUCAUGCGAUCAACUCCUUUUCUAAUGGCAAUACCCCUCCCGUGUGUCAGUGGGUCCCAUUUUAAACAAUGGCUUGAUGAUCAGCCUCUAUCAUCAGUGGUGCAUAUAUGCUUCGGGAGCAUGGGAAGUUUCGGUGUGGAUCAGGUGAAGGAAAUCGCAUGUGGGCUAGAGCAGGGCGGCCAUCGAUUCUUGUGGUCUCUACGUAAACCACCACCGAAAGGCAGGAUGGAACUUCUUCCAAGCGAUUACACUAAUCCUCGGGAUGUCUUACCUAAAGGAUUUUUUUUGAUCGGACGACUAACAUUGGAAAAAUAAUUGGAUGGGCUCCACAGAUGAAUAUUUUGGCUCAUCCUUCGGUGGGAGGGUUUGUAUCGUACCGUGGAUGGAAUUCUAUAUUGGAAAGCAUGGUGUUCCAACUUCCAAUUGCUGCCUGGCAGAGCACAAACUAAAGCUUUUCAAAUAGUUGUAGAGUUAGGGUUGGGAGUGGAGAUUAAAAUAAUUAAAAGAAUUGAACUCGGAUGGUAAAAGCCUAAUUAUUUUAAUUUUUUUUAUGUUUAUUUUGAACACUUUAAAGAAAGAACUAGAUAAAAUGUUAAAAUAUUUUUUCUCUUUCAUAAAUAAUAUUUUUAUAUAUUUUUCAAAAAAGUCAAAAUCAACAAAAUAGCUUUUACCAUCACCAUCACAAUAUAAUUAGCUUUUCAAACGAUUUUUUUCCAUUAGAAUAGAUAUUAUAAAAAAAAACUAUAUUUAUACUAUUUAAAAUGCUAUUUUAUCAAUUUAACUUUUUAAAAUAGUAUUUUUCAUUGGAGAUGCUCUUACAGCAAAGCCAUGACCUCAGUCUUUAAUUUUGUGCCUCACGUGAUUGGGAUGUAAUUCAGUUAGUCAUAUUAUAAAUUUAUUCGAAUCUCGUAAAUUUCAAGGUUAUUAAAGAUUUAUAUGAUUGUUAAUUUUAAAAUUAAUUAAGAUACGUGUAAGGCGGAACAAAUAUUUACAUUAAUGAAAUAAAAAAAUCUUGUGCUACACAUGCAUGAUAUUUUUAACAAAGAAUAGUCAAGUACACUUCAUUAUAGCCCCUUAUAGUGCACCUAAGAAGGACACGAAGAUCAGUCUUUUGCAUUCCUCCUUGAACUCUCUAGCUACUCAGUUGCAUAAAUGAAGAAAGCUGAGCUAGUCGCCAUACCAGCACCUGGUAGAAGCCACCUUAUGUCCACCUUAGUCUCCAUACGGCAAUUCAUUUUUUGGGGUCUUUCUGACGAAUUGUAAAAGCAGUCCACAAUGACAGCAAAGCCAUGACCUCACUCUCACUCUUGGCCUGCACGGCUGCACGUAUAUCUUUUUCAACAAUAAAUUGCCAAUCUCAAGUCCACUUAAUUAUAGCCACAAACAGUGCCUUUAAAAGGACACUGAGGCUUUUGGCUCGGCACUGGGAGGAGCUUUGUUUCUUUCCUGAGUUCGAAUCUUCAUGUGUAUGUUUGUUAUUUUCAUGGUGUUUUAUAUAUCUAUUAGGUUUGCAGGGUAUUUAGUAGUCGUGAAAUUAAUCGUGGUGAAGAAAAAAAAUCAGUCUUUUACAUGCAAUCCCACCUGGAAAUUCUCUAGCAAAUAGAGGAAAAAAAAAAAAAUAAGUCGCAGAAUGAAGAAAGCUGAGCUGGUCUUCAUACCAAAGUGUUGAUGAUUAAACCAAAGCAUAGAUCUAGAUAAUAUAGAUUAUAGUUGUUAAACUGGGUUCAGUAAUCUACUCAAAAUAAAAUUUAAAUCACUAAGUUACAAGGUCUCAUGUCAAUUAUUUUUAUUAAAAUAUAGGUGUUAUUUGGUUCUAGAUUUUUUUUAUGAAAAAAAGAAAUUCUUAGUGUUGACGUGUCUAGGUGUGACCUAGUUAAUAGGGUUAUUAAAUAAGUUUUUUUGUGUGUCUAUAUAUAACUUUAACUUGGCCCAGAUCAAAUUUAAAAUCCUUACUUUUUUAGAUUAUUUUAUCAAGUUAAACUAAGUUUAAUCAUUAUGACAUUUGGUUUUUUUUUCUUGAUUUAAAUUUCAAGAUUAGUGUUUAUUUAAAAAAAAAAUACACCUCACUGAUAAAAGAUGAUGUGUUUUUUUAGUUAUUCAUAACCUAAAUUUAAUCUCUAUUAACAUCAAUCCUAAAACAUCAAUAUAUAAGCAUAGAAAAUUCAGCCUAUUGUAAAAGAGAUUUAAAUUUCUGACAGGGACGGCAUCCCAUUUUUUUGGGUCUUCUCGACGAAUUGUAAAAGCAGUCCACAAUCACAGCAAAGCCAUGACCUCACUCUUAUUCUUGUCCUGCUCGAAUGUAGUUUUGAACAGUACAUUGCCAAUCUCAAGUCCACUUAAUUAUAGCCACAAACAGUGCCUUUAAAAAGGAUAUGAAAAUCAGUCUCUUACAAGCAAUCCCACCUCGAAAUUCUCUGGCAAAUAAAGAAAAAAAAAGGAGCUCAGUAGCAGAAUGAAGAAAGCUGAGCUGGUCUUCAUACCAACACCAGGUAUCAGCCACCUCGUAUCCACAGUAGAGGUAGCAAAGCUUCUUGUUGACCGUGAUGAGAGGCUUUCAGUCACCUUCCUAAUCAUGAAAAUACGUUCUGACCCCAAGAUUGAUAGGUUUAUAAAUUCAAUGAGUACAGCCUGUAAUCGUAUCCGCUUCAUUGACUUGCCUAAAGAUGAGCCUGAUCCAAACCAACCCAGGAAGUUUCUCUUUUCUAUGUUUGAAGCCCAGAUACCCCAUGUCAAAGAUGAAGUCUCUAAGCUUGUGAGCCUGUCCGAGUCAAGCCCUGACUCGCCUACACUUUCUGGGUUUGUUCUCGAUAUGUUUUGUACACCAAUGAUAGACGUGGCCAAUGAAUUUGGUGUUCCCUCAUAUAUUUUCCUUACGUCAGGUGCAGCUUUUCUUGGCCUCCAAUUUUAUGUUCAGGCUCUUCACGAUGAGCAGAAAGUUGACCCUACUGAGUUCAAGGGCUCGGAUGCUGAGUUGGUCAUGCCGUGUUUGGCAAAUCCUGUUCCAGCUAAGGUCUUGCCUUCUGUUUUGCUUAACAAAGAGUGGCUGCCAAAUAUGCUCCGUCAAGCUAGAAGGUUUAGAGAAACUAAGGGUAUUAUAAUAAACACAUUUGAAGAGCUGGAAUCCCAUGCGAUCAACUCCUUUUCUAAAGGUAAUAGCCCUCCGGUAUAUCCAGUGGGUCCCAUUUUAAACCUUAAUAGAGAUGGUGAUUGUGACGAGGAGUCUGAUAAAUACAAAGACAUCAAGCAAUGGCUUGAUGAUCAGCCCCUAUCCUCAGUAGUGUAUCUAUGCUUCGGGAGCAUGGGGAGUUUCGGAGUGGAUCAGGUGAAGGAAAUUGCUUAUGGGCUAGAGCAGAGCGGGCACCGAUUCUUGUGGUCUCUACGUCAACCACCACCGGAAGGGAAGAUGGAAGCUCCAAGCGAUUACACUGAUCCUCGGGAUGUCUUACCUGAAGGAUUUUUGGAUCGGACGGCUAACACAGGAAAAAUAAUUGGAUGGGCCCCACAGACAGAUAUUUUGGGCCAUCCAUCCGUAGGAGGGUUUGUAUCGCACUGUGGAUGGAACUCUAUAUUGGAAAGCAUAUGGUUUGGCGUUCCGAUUGCCGCGUGGCCAUUAUAUGCAGAGCAACAACUCAAUGCCUUUCAAAUGAUUGUUGAGCUCGGAUUGGGAGUGGAGAUUAAAAUGGAUUAUAGAAGAGAGUUUAUCUCGAAUGGUAAUGAAACUGUCAUUAGUGCCGGGGAGAUCGAGAGAGGAGUAAGGUGUUUAAUGGAGCUUUGCGAUGAGAAGAGGGAGAAGUUGAAGGAGAUGAGUGGAAAGAGCAGGAAGGCUUUGGAGAACGGUGGAUCCUCGUUCACAUGGUUAGGUCGUUUCAUUCAAGAUACGAUGGACCACCUACAAUGAUUAAAUUACUAGAUGCCAUCCCGGUGCCGCAGGCUUGUGGUAUAUUUAUAUAUUAUUGUAGAUUUAUGAAAAAAAUAAAAAUAUAUAUAUAAAAAGAGAAAAAUUGUUGCAAAUGUUUUCAAAAAAAAAAGUAAAAUUUUUAAUCAGUUUAAUAUUUAAAAAAUAAAAUAAUAAAAGAAAAUUUUUAAAAAAUUCACAUAAAAAAAAAACGAAAGGAAAGAAAAACUUUGUAAUAAAAUACUGUAAUAAUUUAUAGUGUUUCAUAAAAAAAUUCAUAAUUAUAAUUCUUAACUAACUCAAUAGUUAAAAUAAUAAAAUUAAUAAAAAUAAUUUUAAAAAAUUUCGUAACAAUAAAAAAUUAUAUGGUGGAAAACUGUAAUAAUCUACUCUACUUGACUUGGGCUAGGGCUUGAAUUGGCCUCUUGACUUUUUGGAGCUUGGGCAUUUCUUUGCUGGGUAUUCUUUUUCUUCAAUUGAACUUCUCUCUGCCCAUACAAACACAAAAAAAGAUAAAAAAAUAAUAAAAAAAAACAUGUAGGAAAAGUUAAAACUAAAUUCUAAAUCAGUUAAAUAUUAAAAAAAACAUUCGGGAAAGAUAAUUUAAAAAAAAACAUGUAGAUAAACACUGUAGCAAAACAAAAACCAUGUGGGGAAACGUUAUUACAGUCCAUAGUGUUUUUUUAAAAAAAAACUACGAAGCAAAAUUCAUAACCAGCUUAAUAUGAAAAAAAAAAAUCGACAAAGAUUAUUUUUAAAAAAAUCAUGAAAAAAAAGAAAACAAAUGUGUGAAAACAUUGCAGUAAUCCAAAAUGUUUUUUAAAAAAACUACAGAAUUAAAUUUUCAACUAGUUCAAUAUUAAAAAACAUUGACAAAGAUAAUUUAAAAAAAAACACAAAAAGAAAAAAGAAGAUAAUCUUAGGGGAUAAAAAGAAAAAAAAUGUAAAAUAAAAAAAAAAGGUAAAAACGAUAAAAAAAAAAUUAGGGAAAGAUUAAAAAAAAAGGGAAAAAAAAAGACAAAAUACAAAAGUAACUGAAAAAACAAAAACAACACAAAACAAAAUUAAAAAUAUUAAAAAACAAAAACAUGUAAGGAAAGUGUUUUAAAGUUUUUGUUUAAGUUGUUUUAUUGUUAUAAUUAUAGCUGUCGGAUCUUCUUGGGAAUUUAUACGAAAAAUCCAAGAGGCUAUGAAGUGAAUCUGGAUGCACUAUUUUUAUAGAAAAACUAAUAUUUUAUUAUUUUCUUAUGUUGAUCAACAAGAUUAUUAGGGUUGGAUUUAGCAACGACAAGGAGAACGAUGUCGUAUGAAUUUGAUUUAAUUAAAUAUCUUUGUAAAACUGAGCCUAAAUCAGGCUUUCAAUUUCAAAUUUCUUGUACCAAUCCACUAAACUAACCCUUAAAAGGUUCAUUACCUGGGAAGUCAUUCUAAAAUGACGAAAUGAUAGUCACUUUUCUGACAAAAAUUCAUUGAAAAAGUCAAAACAUCUACGACGCAGAUCUCCAAUGUUUUCAUUUUCUAAAACCAUCACCAAAAGCUCUUUUUUUUUUUUUCCGGAUGGUUAUCGUUAUUAUGUUAUUUUUGUUGAUGUCCACACAAAAUAUAUAUGGUAUUAUCCAUUUAUUGUAAAAUCUGAUGUUUAUUCUAUUUUUCAUCAAUUUUAAACUUUUAUCGAGCAUCAAUUUUCAUCAAAAAUAAAAUAUGUUCAAACUGAUUGGGGCAGUGACUCUCCAUUUUCUUUCAAACCAUUAGUAUUUAUCACCAUUUGAUAUGUCCUCACACUUGCGAACAAAAUGGAAUAGUAAAAAGACAUCAUUGACAUAUUGUGGAAACCGACCUUACUCUUUUAGGCCAAUGUAAAUCUCCAUUCCGCUUUUGGAAUUAUGCUUUUGAAACUUUGGUUUAUCUCAUCAAUCGCAUGCCUAUUCUUGUUCUUGCAAAUCGAUCUCCAUAUGAUUGUUUGUGUCAUUGUUCUACUUAUUAUCAUUUUUUGCGUACUUUUGGAUGUCUCUGUUUUCCCUUUUUGCGUCCUUAUAAUAAUCAUAAACCGGAUUUUCAGUCUUUUCCAUGUGUGUUUUAUGGCUACAGUUCUUCUCACCUUGGUUAUCGAUGUUUUGACAUUGAAUCUUAUCACAUGUAUAUCUUCUGUUAUGUCUGUUUUCAUGAACAUGUUUUUUCGUUUGAUAAUUCUGAACAUAUUACAUAGGUUUUGGCUCAAAACCACACACUAUUUCCUGCUACCAUCCUCCCAAAUCUGACCCACACCCCAUUAUUCACCGAUCAUGACACACCCCAUUCCGCCUCAGCCUCUACCCUGCAUUCACCUCCUACUAAAACACCACAGUCUCUACCUUUCACUUGCCGAUCACCAUAUACAUCUUUAUCUCACCAUUCUGUUGCAGGUACAUGUUGUAGAUUAGUUUUCCCUACACUCCAGCACGAUGUCUCUGCUAGUACUGGGAAACCCUUUGGUUCCUCCUUUGCUUCCCCUUUAUUUUGCCAGUCACCUGGCUUCUGAAGACUCUGUCUUUGUUGCCAACCUUGUUGUUGUUGGCAGCCCUCUGCUUGAGGCAACUUCUUCACCUAGUUUGAAUCUAGUGAUUGAUCUCUCCGCUUAUCCACUACAGCAGGACACCUCUGUGACACCAACCUCCGCUGCAUCACCAUCGUUUCUCAGCUGCCACCUUAUGGUCCUUAGACCGCGACAGCCCAAAACCGCAAAUAUGAUGGCCUCUACUGCAGCUGAUACAGUUGCCACUUGAGUAUUGCUAUCUCCUUCUUCUGAACCAAUUGCCUUCUCUGAUUUAGAUAAAUAUGUUGAUUGGCAUGAUGUUAUAUGUGAAGAGAUCAAGGCAUUGCGUUCCAACCACACUUGGUCCCUAAUGCCCCUUCAUCCUUCGAUGAAUGUUGUUGGCAAUCGAUGAAUAUAUCGGAUCAAACAUCGUGUUGAUGGUAGCAUUGAAUGUUAUAAAGCCCGUCUAGUUGCUAAAGGCUUUACCCAACAGGAAAGCAUUGAUUAUUCUGAAACUUUAGUCCAGUUAUUAAGCAGGCCACCAUCAGAUUAGUCUUGUCCAUUACGGUUUCACGUAAUUAGAAGAUUCAUAAGCUCGAUAUUCAUAAUGCAUUUCUCAAUGGUGUUCUUAUUGAAGAAGUCUACAUGAAGCAACCUCCAGAUUUUAUUGACCCUACUCUUCCAUCUCAUGUGUGCAAAUUGUACAAGUCAUUAUAUGGUUUAAAACAGACACCAAGGGCAUGGUACACCCAUCUGAGUAAGUUUUUACUCUCCAUUGGUUUCCUUGCCUUCAAGGUUGACACCUCCUUGUUUUAUCUUAUUUGAUGGUACUAAUAUCUUUUUUCUCCUAGUAUAUGUUGAUGAUAUUCUACUUAUGGGUAGCAACUCUGUCAUGUUUCAUCACCUAAUCCAGUUACUCAGCUUAGAAUUCAAGCUUCGUGACUUAGGUAUUGUUCACUAUUGUCUGGGUAUUGAAGUUCAGUAUACAAGUAUAGGUUUAAUGUUGCGCCAACACAAAUAUAUUAUUCACAUCCUCACUCGAGGUGGUAUGCCUUCUUGUUAACCCGUUGAUACUCUAGGUUCCCUCCAUCUCUGCUCCUUGGUGCGAUCUAUCUCUCAGCAAAUCCUAUCUUUCAUGCUUGUAUUAAACAUAUUGAGGUAGAUUAUCACUUUGUCUGCAAAGAAGAAAAUUCAUAUUCGCUUUAUCCCUUCUCGGGAUCAACUUGUUGAUGUCUUCAACAAAUCACUUUCUGUUGUGUCUUUUACUGCUUUCAGGUUUAAGCUUCGGGUCGAUCCUCAACCCUCAACUUGAAGGGACAUAUUAUAGAAUGUAUAGCAUGUAUAUCUUUCAAUAAAAAAUUAAUGUAGAAUUAUUUUAAUGUUAUAAUCCCUAUAAUAACGAUCGUAUUCUACCUUACAUGUAUAUAUCAAAAAAAUUGAUUAAUAACAACCUAAAUCAUUAUGUUAUUCUCGAUUUCUAUUAUCAUCAAUUAAAAAAAAAUAGAAAAUUCAGCCCAUAAUACGAUAGGGAGGGCAAAAUAUUCAGCCCAUAAUAACUGAGCAACAGCUAAUAAGGGUUCAAAAAACGUUGUCUUUUCAUGACUUAAAUUACUGACAGGAACGGCAUCGCUUUUUUUUGGGUCUUCUUGACGAAUUGUAAAAGCAGUCCACAAUGACAGCAAAGCCAUGACCUCACUCUCACUCUUGUCCUGCACGUAUAUAUUUUUGAGCAGUAAAUUGCCAAUCUCAAGUCCACUUAAUUAUAGCCACAAGUAGUGCCCUUAAAAAGGAUAUGAAAAUCAGUCUUUUACAUGCAAUCCCACCUUGAAAUUCUCUAGCAAAUAAAGAAAAAAUUAAAGAGCUCAGUCGCAGAAUGAAGAAAGCUGAGCUGGUCUUCAUACCAACACCAGGUAUCAGCCACCUCCUAUCCACAGUAGAGGUAGCAAAGCUUCUUCUAGACCGUGAUGAGAGGCUUUCAAUCACCUUCCUCAUCAUGAAAAUACGUUCUGACCCCAAGAUUGAGAGGUUUAUAAAUUCAGUGAGUACAGCCUGUAAUCGUAUCCGCUUCAUUGACUUGCCUAAAGAUGAGCCUGAUCCAAACCAACCCAGGAAGUUUCUCUUUUCUUUGAUUGAAACCCAGAUACCCCAUGUCAAAGAUGAAGUCUCUAAGCUUGUGAGCCAGUCCGAGUCAAGCCCUGACUCGCCUACACUUUCUGGGUUUGUUCUCGAUAUGUUUUGUACACCAAUGAUGGACGUGGCCAAUGAAUUUGGUAUUCCCUCAUAUAUUUUCCUUACGUCAGGUGCAGCUUCUCUUGGCGUCCAAUUUUAUGUUCAGGCUCUUCACGAUGAGCAGAAAGUUGACCCUACUGAGUUCAAGGGCUCUGAUGCUGAGUUGGUCAUGCCGUGUUUGGCAAAUCCUGUUCCAGCUAAGGUCUUGCCCUCUGUUUUGCUUAACAAAGAGCGGCUGCCGCAUAUGCUCCGUCAAGCUAGAAGGUUUAGAGAAACUAAGGGUAUUAUAAUAAACACAUUUGAAGAGCUGGAAUCGCAUGCGAUCAACUCCUUUUCUAAAGGUAAUAUCCCUCCGGUAUAUCCAGUGGGUCCCAUUUUAAACCUUAAUAGAGAUGGUGAUUGUGACGAGGAGUCUGAUAAAUACAAAGACAUCAAGCAAUGGCUUGAUGAUCAGCCCCUAUCCUCAGUAGUGUAUCUAUGCUUCGGGAGCAUGGGGAGUUUCGGAGUGGAUCAGGUGAAGGAAAUUGCUUAUGGGCUAGAGCAGAGCGGGCACCGAUUCUUGUGGUCUCUACGUCAACCACCACCGGAAGGGAAGAUGGAAGCUCCAAGCGAUUACACUGAUCCUCGGGAUGUCUUACCUGAAGGAUUUUUGGAUCGGACGGCUAACACAGGAAAAAUAAUUGGAUGGGCCCCGCAGACAGAUAUUUUGGGCCAUCCAUCCGUAGGAGGGUUCGUAUCGCACUGUGGAUGGAACUCUAUAUUGGAAAGCAUAUGGUUUGGCGUUCCGAUUGCCGCGUGGCCAUUAUAUGCAGAGCAACAACUCAAUGCCUUUCAAAUGAUUGUUGAGCUCGGAUUGGGAGUGGAGAUUAAAAUGG
RNAcentral lists this long non-coding RNA (11204 nucleotides) under Populus tremula. Its description in RNAcentral is "long non-coding RNA (PTRE_LNC001153)". Lineage: Eukaryota; Viridiplantae; Streptophyta; Magnoliopsida; Malpighiales; Salicaceae. The record is from RNAcentral.